Molecule: long non-coding RNA, 481 nt
Filed under: Brassica napus (rape)
Lineage: Eukaryota; Viridiplantae; Streptophyta; Magnoliopsida; Brassicales; Brassicaceae
Description: long non-coding RNA (BNAP_LNC007329)
Source: RNAcentral
UUGAUUUUGGGUAAAGCAUUGCGUACUUUCCUUGCAUCAUGUACCUUUUUAACAGUAGCGAAAUUAUGAAGACCAUAUUUCACUUGGAACUACAUUUAUAAUAUUACUAUUCCACAUACGAUACAUAGUAUGAAAACUCAUACAAUCAGUAUAGAAUAUACUUGUCGUCAUCUUCAGUUCGUCGUUAGGUUAGAAUUGUUUAUGACACACUUACAACUGUUAUCCACUCCUCUUGAUUCAUACCCUUACAUCACAUGUGUUGAAUACAGCUGCACAACGUGAUCCAUAUGUUAUGUGAUUAUUAUGAUGCCACACAAAAACGCCACAUCGUUUACUUUAUAAUAUGAAACCGGUAACCUGUUAUUUGAAGGGGUAUAACCGGAUAGAAGGAAGCACAAAAGUCAGACAAUGAAUUAUGUCAAAAUCAUAGCUACUUCCUUGACUUAUCUCCAAAAUAUGACCAUUUGGCCAAUAAGCCCAA